GAUGAUUCUGAUCUAAAUUUCAUUGAAUUUGGUUGAGAUUUGAAGAAGUUAUGUGAAAUUAAAGUUUGAUGUUCAUAGAUGUUUUGCUUCGAUUCUUAAAAUACAUGAUGAUUUGGACUGAAAUGAUGUUAGAUUCGUAUUCCUCAUGUGAUAACCUUUCGAAUGAUGUAUAUUUGGUGCAAAUCUGGAAAAAAAAAAUUCACGUGGUACUGUUCAAC
Molecule: long non-coding RNA, 218 nt
Filed under: Lathyrus oleraceus (garden pea)
Lineage: Eukaryota; Viridiplantae; Streptophyta; Magnoliopsida; Fabales; Fabaceae
Description: Pisum sativum (pea) long non-coding RNA (PSAT_LNC039306)
Source: RNAcentral